AAUGUUUUCUUUGACAUUAUUCGUGUCUCAAUGUCGACAUUUUGUGUACUAUUUUCUACUUUUGAGGAAGCAACACAUGAAAGAUUCAUGUCAAAGGCUAAGGCAACUAAAAAAGUAUAAUCCAUAUUUAACGGAAACAAAAGCAGUGAAAACAUGUCAAAUACAAGUAUGCAAAUAAUAGUGUAACACAUCAAAAGACGGAGAAUGCUUUGAUGCAUCUUUUUAGGAAAAUGCUUUGAUGCUUUGGAUUGCAGCACAUACUAGGAAGGGUGGUGGACCAUCCAAUUUGCUUGCUGCAGAGACUAUUGAAAAUAUUAUGCAACAUGAAAAUGGAUCAUCAUCUAUCUGGUUUUCGAAGUGACGCUCUUUCCGAAGUUUUUGGUGCCGAGCAAAAUGGUCGUGCAAGAGGAGUUGGAGGUGGUGUUCCUCCUACAAAGCUUGAAGUAUUUUCACAACAGAAAUGGUGUAAUCACCAAAGGGAUGAAAAGGUGCACAAUUUGACUAAUAGGUCUGAGCAUUGACGGAAUUGGUGCAUCUUUUUAUGAAAAAUAAGAUUGAGAAAUAAGAAUUUGGAUUGAAGCCAAUGAAUUGCCAGGGCAUUGUUUGCUGUUGCAGCAUAGGGAUCGUUCUGUGGGAAAGGUAGGAUCUAUACGAGCAUGAUUGCCUUUCGCAAAUGUUAUAUUAAAAGCAUUCUUUCUAAUUUUUACCCUUUUUGGAUUUCUUAGUUUGAGGUGAAAAUGGAAUUUGGAGAAAAAAUGAAUCUCAUUUUGGGUUAACACAAACCACAAAUCACUUGAUAAUACCAAAUGACAUGAUUGUUAAUGAUUGGAUUCUUAGUUAAGUUUUGAUUAACGUGUUUAUUUUCAACUUGUGACAUGUCAUUUAAUUUAAAGUUUUAUUCUCUCUAUCAUUAUUCAUAACAAAAACAAAUUUAUGGGUUUUAUUUUUUGUGUGUGUUUUGUUAGAGACACAUGUCCUCAUUUCCAGUCGG
This is a long non-coding RNA of Pyrus x bretschneideri (Chinese white pear), 991 nucleotides long. RefSeq lists it as uncharacterized. NCBI's taxonomy places the organism in Eukaryota, Viridiplantae, Streptophyta, Magnoliopsida, Rosales, Rosaceae. The record is from RefSeq and is a predicted model, not a curated record. The transcript is spliced from 3 exons.